Pteropus alecto (black flying fox) is the source of this 119-nucleotide non-coding RNA. Lineage: Eukaryota; Metazoa; Chordata; Mammalia; Chiroptera; Pteropodidae. The record is from Rfam.
GACUACGGCCAUGCCACCCUGAACACGCCGGGUCCCAUCUGAUCUCAGAAGCUAAGCAGGGUCGGGCCUGGUUAGCACUUGGAUGGGAGACCACCUAGGAAGACCAGGUGCUGUAGGCA